UGCAGUUCGACGGCAGCACAGUAAGAGCUUGCUCUUACGGGUGGCGAGUGGCGGACGGGUGAGGAAUGCAUCGGAAUCUACUCUGUCGUGGGGGAUAACGUAGGGAAACUUACGCUAAUACCGCAUACGACCUACGGGUGAAAGCAGGGGAUCUUCGGACCUUGCGCGAUUGAAUGAGCCGAUGCCCGAUUAGCUAGUUGGCGGGGUAAGAGCCCACCAAGGCGACGAUCGGUAGCUGGUCUGAGAGGAUGAUCAGCCACACUGGAACUGAGACACGGUCCAGACUCCUACGGGAGGCAGCAGUGGGGAAUAUUGGACAAUGGGCGCAAGCCUGAUCCAGCCAUACCGCGUGGGUGAAGAAGGCCUUCGGGUUGUAAAGCCCUUUUGUUGGGAAAGAAAAGCAUUCGGUUAAUACCCGAUUGUUCUGACGGUACCCAAAGAAUAAGCACCGGCUAACUUCGUGCCAGCAGCCGCGGUAAUACGAAGGGUGCAAGCGUUACUCGGAAUUACUGGGCGUAAAGCGUGCGUAGGUGGUUGUUUAAGUCUGUCGUGAAAGCCCUGGGCUCAACCUGGGAAUUGCGAUGGAAACUGGGCGACUAGAGUGUGGCAGAGGGUAGUGGAAUUCCUGGUGUAGCAGUGAAAUGCGUAGAGAUCAGGAGGAACAUCCGUGGCGAAGGCGACUGCCUGGGCCAACACUGACACUGAGGCACGAAAGCGUGGGGAGCAAACAGGAUUAAAUACCCUGGUAGUCCACGCCCUAAACGAUGCGAACUGGAAUGUUGGGUGCAAUUUGGCACGCAGUAUCGAACCUAACGCGUUAAGUUCGCCGCCG
This 832-nucleotide ribosomal RNA is filed under the name Stenotrophomonas sp. RBC15. RNAcentral describes it as "bacterial SSU rRNA". It matches the Rfam family "Bacterial small subunit ribosomal RNA", at positions 56 to 873 of the family's 1533-position model. The record is from RNAcentral. Lineage: Bacteria; Pseudomonadati; Pseudomonadota; Gammaproteobacteria; Lysobacterales; Lysobacteraceae.